AAAAAGUACACAUAAACACUCACACACAAGCACAUCCAUGGCCUAUAAAUUGUGUAGCAAAUUUCAGCUAACACACAAGCAAGAUCUACCUAGCAAUUGUUUAUCAAUUAAGGUUUCUAAGAGAAAGUACGUGUUUGGAAAAUGGGUUCCAAGGGUGUUUCCCUUCUCCUGUUCCUCAACCUCCUUUUCUUUUCCAUGAUUAGCUCAAGCAGCAGCUACAAAUCACCACCACCUUGUAAUGUCCCUUCUCCUGGAACACCACCCCCCCCAA
This 271-nucleotide long non-coding RNA is filed under the name Glycine max (soybean). RNAcentral's name for it is "long non-coding RNA (GMAX_LNC003387)". Lineage: Eukaryota; Viridiplantae; Streptophyta; Magnoliopsida; Fabales; Fabaceae. The record is from RNAcentral.